CCUACGGGUGGCAGCAGUGAGGAAUAUUGGUCAAUGGGCGCGAGCCUGAACCAGCCAAGUAGCGUGAAGGAUGACUGCCCUACGGGUUGUAAACUUCUUUUAUAAAGGAAUAAAGUGAGGCACGUGUGCCUUUUUGUAUGUACUUUAUGAAUAAGGAUCGGCUAACUCCGUGCCAUCAGCCGCGGUAAUACGGAGGGUCCGAGCGUUAUCCGGAUUUAUUGGGGUUAAAGGGAGCGUAGAUGGGGUGUUAAGUCAGUUGUGAAAGUUUGCGGCUCAACCGUAAAAUUGCAAUUGAUACUGGCAGUCUUGAGUACAGUUGAGGUAGGCGGAAUUCGUGGUGUAGCGGUGAAAUGCGUAGAUAUCACGAAGAACUCCGAUUGCGAAGGCAGCUUACUAAACUGCCACUGACAUUGAUGCUCGAAAGUGUGGGUAUCAAACAGGAUUAGAUACCCUAGUAGUC
Molecule: ribosomal RNA, 460 nt
Filed under: uncultured bacterium
Lineage: Bacteria
Description: partial 16S ribosomal RNA
Rfam family: Bacterial small subunit ribosomal RNA
Source: RNAcentral